CGUCUAUCAUUCUUUAAUUUCUUAGGAUGUAGCAGUAUUUUUUUUUCAAUAUCGUGGAUAGAGUACUUUGGAUUCUUUCUUUUUGUCAUAUGCCUCCACACUUCCAAACUAUAUUAAAAAUUUAUCCCCCUUUUCCCCAAUGAUAUUUAUUAGUGUAACACACAAUUUUUGUUGAUAUUUUGAACGUGAAUGGGUAAUACAUGGCAACACCUAAUAUGUAAUGAG
RNAcentral lists this long non-coding RNA (225 nucleotides) under Nicotiana benthamiana. Its description in RNAcentral is "long non-coding RNA (NBEN_LNC019370)". Lineage: Eukaryota; Viridiplantae; Streptophyta; Magnoliopsida; Solanales; Solanaceae. The record is from RNAcentral.